GAACGAACCGGUCCAGACUCCUACGGGAGGCAGCAGUGAGGAAUUUUGCGCAAUGGGGGAAACCCUGACGCAGCAACGCCGCGUGAGUGAAGAAGGCCCUCGGGUCGUAAAGCUCUGUCAAGUUGGAAAAAAGCCUUUUGAUUAAUAGUCAAAAGGACUGAUGGUACAACUAGAGGAAGCACCGGCUAACUCCGUGCCAGCAGCCGCGGUAAUACGGAGGGUGCAAGCGUUGUUCGGAAUUACUGGGCGUAAAGAGCGUGUAGGCGGUAUGGUAAGUCAGAUGUGAAAGCCCUGGGCUCAACCCAGGAAGAGCAUUUGAUACUGCCAUUCUUGAGUAUGGGAGAGGAGAGUGGAAUUCCCAGUGUAGAGGUGAAAUUCGUAGAUAUUGGGAGGAACACCCGUGGCGAAGGCGACUCUCUGGACCAAUACUGACGCUGAGACGCGAAAGCGUGGGGAGCAAACAGGAUUAGAUACCCUGGUAGUCCACGCCGUAAACGAUGAGAACUAGGUGUAGCGGGUAUUGACCCCUACUGUGCCGAAGUUAACGCAUUAAGUUCUCCGCCUGGGGAGUACGGCCGCAAGGCUAAAACUCAAAGGAAUUGACGGGGACCCGCACAAGCGGUGGAGCAUGUGGUUUAAUUCGACGCAACGCGAAGAACCUUACCUGGAUUUGACAUCCUCUGACAACCCCGGAAACGGGGCCUUCCCUGCUUGCAGGGACAGAGUGACAGGUGCUGCAUGGCUGUCGUCAGCUCGUGUCGUGAGAUGUUGGGUUAAGUCCCGCAACGAGCGCAACCCUUGUUUCUAGCUGCCAGUAUUAAGUUAGGCACUCUAGAGAUACUGCCUCGGUUAACGGGGAGGAAGGUGGGGAUGACGUCAAGUCCUCAUGGCCUUUAUAUCCAGGGCUACACACGUGCUACAAUGGGCUGUUACAAAGAGCUGCUACUUCGCGAGAAGGCCCUAAUCUCAAAASACAGUUCUCAGUUCCGAUUGGAGUCUGCAACUCGACUCCAUGAAAUUGGGAAUCCCUAGUAAUC
Molecule: ribosomal RNA, 1037 nt
Filed under: uncultured Syntrophobacteraceae bacterium
Lineage: Bacteria; Pseudomonadati; Thermodesulfobacteriota; Syntrophobacteria; Syntrophobacterales; Syntrophobacteraceae
Description: bacterial SSU rRNA
Rfam family: Bacterial small subunit ribosomal RNA
Source: RNAcentral